RNAcentral lists this small RNA (450 nucleotides) under Arabidopsis thaliana (thale cress). RNAcentral describes it as "ATSL303630". The record is from RNAcentral. Lineage: Eukaryota; Viridiplantae; Streptophyta; Magnoliopsida; Brassicales; Brassicaceae.
UUAAAUAGGCAAGUAUCUUAUUGAUGUUCAUAAAUCAACCAUUAAACAUAUAUUUUGCUAUACUAAACAAAGUUUUCUUUCUUUGCUUCUUCUCAAUAUCUCAGUAUGUCUACUAAAAAUGUGAUUUCAUUUUUAAUGGUCAUAUGCAUCAUAGUCUCCGUAAAUGCAAGACCACUUUUUUCGUCUAUUUUUACUGAUCCAUAUCCGUACCUUAAUAGUUUACCAGGAUUUUUUCAUGUAUUCAGAUGUUAUUCAUCUGUGAUGAAAUUUCCAAUAUGCGUUAUACAAACUACUGAAUCCGUACGUAAUAAGCGAUGGGAAAUCAGUCCUUAUUGUUGCAAGGCAUAUUUACAUACCAAAGAUUACUGCUUGCCAAAAAUUCCCUACAUGCCAAAAUUUCCUUCUUUCAUAAGAAAUCAUUGUAAAAAAGUUGUUCGCAAGUAAAAUUUU